RNAcentral lists this ribosomal RNA (500 nucleotides) under uncultured bacterium. RNAcentral describes it as "partial 16S ribosomal RNA". It matches the Rfam family "Bacterial small subunit ribosomal RNA", at positions 30 to 523 of the family's 1533-position model. The record is from RNAcentral.
AUUGAACGCUGGCGGCAGGCCUAACACAUGCAAGUCGAGCGGAUGAAGGGAGCUUGCUCCUUGAUUCAGCGGCGGACGGGUGAGUAAUGCCUAGGAAUCUGCCUAGUAGUGGGGGACAACGUUUCGAAAGGAACGCUAAUACCGCAUACGUCCUACGGGAGAAAGUGGGGGCUCUUCGGACCUCACGCUAUUAGAUGAGCCUAGGUCGGAUUAGCUAGUUGGUAGGGUAAAGGCCUACCAAGGCGACGAUCCGUAACUGGUCUGAGAGGAUGAGCAGUGACACUGGAACUGAGACACGGUCCAGACUCCUACGGGAGGAAGCAGUGGGGAAUAUUGGACAAUGGGCGCAAGCCUGAUCCAGCCAUGCCGCGUGUGUGAAGAAGGCCUUCGGGUCGUAAAGCACUUUAAGUUGGGAGGAAGGGCUUACGGUUAAUACCUGUGAGUUUUGACGUUACCAACAGAAUAAGCACCGGCUAACUUCGUGCCAGCCGCCGCGGUAA